Molecule: ribosomal RNA, 500 nt
Filed under: uncultured bacterium
Lineage: Bacteria
Description: partial 16S ribosomal RNA
Rfam family: Bacterial small subunit ribosomal RNA
Source: RNAcentral
GACGAACGCUGGCGGCGUGCUUAACACAUGCAAGUCGAACGGGUCUGCCCUGUUUUUUGCGGGGUGGGUCAGUGGCGAACGGGUGAGUAACACGUGAGUAACCUGCCCCUCACUUCUGGAUAACCGCUUGAAAGGGUGGCUAAUACGGGGUGUUCUGGCUGUGCCGCAUGGUGUGGCUGGGAAAGAUUCACUUUUGUGGUGUUUUGGUGGGGGAUGGGCUCGCGGCCUAUCAGCUUGUUGGUGGGGUGAUGGCCUGCCAAGGCUUUGACGGGUAGCCGGCCUGAGAGGGUGGGCGGUCACACUGGGACUGAGAUACGGCACAGACUCCUGCGGGAGGCAGCAGUGGGGGGUAUUGCACAAUGGGCGGAAGCCUGAUGCAGCGACGUCGCGUGAGGGAUGGAGGCCUGCGGGUUGUGAACCUCUUUCGCCGGUGAAGAAGGUCCUGCUCUUUGUGGUGGGGUUGACGGUAGCCGGGUUAUGAAGCGCCGGCUAACUACGUG